AUAACGUAGCGAAAGUUACGCUAAUACCGCAUACGAUCUAAGGAUGAAANCGGGGAUCGCAAGACCUCGCGCGAUUGGAGCGGCCGAUAUCAGAUUAGGUAGUUGGUGAGGUAAAGGCUCACCAAGCCAACGAUCUGUAGCUGGUCCUGAGAGGACGACCCAGGCCACACUGGAACUGAGACACGGUCCAGACUCCUACGGGAGGCAGCAGUGGGAAUAUUGGACAAUGGGCGCAAGCCUGAUCCAGCCAUGCCGCGUGCAGGAAUAAGGUCCUAUGGAUUGUAAACUGCUUUUAUACAGGAAGAAACACACCCUCGUGAGGGUACUUGACGGUACUGUAUGAAUAAGGACCGGCUAACUCCGUG
This 365-nucleotide ribosomal RNA is filed under the name uncultured bacterium. Its description in RNAcentral is "bacterial SSU rRNA". It matches the Rfam family "Bacterial small subunit ribosomal RNA", at positions 143 to 507 of the family's 1533-position model. The record is from RNAcentral.